GUGGGGAAUUUUGGACAAUGGGCGAAAGCCUGAUCCAGCCAUGCCGCGUGCAGGAUGAAGGCCUUCGGGUUGUAAACUGCUUUUGUACGGAACGAAAAGACUCCUUCUAAUAAAGGGGGUCCAUGACGGUACCGUAAGAAUAAGCACCGGCUAACUACGUGCCAGCAGCCGCGGUAAUACGUAGGGUGCAAGCGUUAAUCGGAAUUACUGGGCGUAAAGCGUGCGCAGGCGGUUAUAUAAGACAGAUGUGAAAUCCCCGGGCUCAACCUGGGAACUGCAUGUGUGACGGUAUAGCUAGAGUACGGUAGAGGGGGAUGGAAUUCCGCGUGUAGCAGUGAAAUGCGUAGAUAUGCGGAGGAACACCGAUGGCGAAGGCAAUCCCCUGGACCUGUACUGACGCUCAUGCACGAAAGCGUGGGGAGCAAACAGGAUUAGAUACCCUGGUAGUCC
This 450-nucleotide ribosomal RNA is filed under the name uncultured bacterium. Its description in RNAcentral is "bacterial SSU rRNA". It matches the Rfam family "Bacterial small subunit ribosomal RNA", at positions 354 to 796 of the family's 1533-position model. The record is from RNAcentral.